Molecule: ribosomal RNA, 253 nt
Filed under: uncultured bacterium
Lineage: Bacteria
Description: partial 16S ribosomal RNA
Rfam family: Bacterial small subunit ribosomal RNA
Source: RNAcentral
UACGUAGGAUGCAAGCGUUGUCCGGAUUUACUGGGCGUAAAGCGUGCGCAGGCGGUUUUGCCAGACCGAUGUGAAAUCCCCGGGCUCAACCUGGGAACUGCAUUUGUGACUGCACGGCUGGAGUGCGGCAGAGGGGGAUGGAAUUCCGCGUGUAGCAGUGAAAUGCGUAGAUAUGCGGAGGAACACCGAUGGCGAAGGCAAUCCCCUGGGCCUGCACUGACGCUCAUGCACGAAAGCGUGGGGAGCAAACAGG